GACGAACGCUGGCGGCGUGCUUAACACAUGCAAGUCGAGCGGUAAGGCCCUUUCGGGGGUACACGAGCGGCGAACGGGUGAGUAACACGUGGGUGACCUACCCUCAGCUCUGGGAUAAGCCUGGGAAACCGGGUCUAAUACCGGAUAUGACUCCAUGACGCAUGUUGUGGGGUGGAAAGCCUUGUGCGGCUGAGGAUGGGCCCGCGGCCUAUCAGCUUGUUGGUGGGGUGAUGGCCUACCAAGGCGACGACGGGUAGCCGGCCUGAGAGGGCGACCGGCCACACUGGGACUGAGACACGGCCCAGACUCCUACGGGAGGCAGCAGUGGGGAAUCUUGCGCAAUGGGCGAAAGCCUGACGCAGCGACGCCGCGUGAGGGAUGACGGCCUCGG
RNAcentral lists this ribosomal RNA (391 nucleotides) under uncultured bacterium. RNAcentral describes it as "bacterial SSU rRNA". It matches the Rfam family "Bacterial small subunit ribosomal RNA", at positions 28 to 420 of the family's 1533-position model. The record is from RNAcentral.